RNAcentral lists this ribosomal RNA (564 nucleotides) under uncultured bacterium. Its description in RNAcentral is "partial 16S ribosomal RNA". It matches the Rfam family "Bacterial small subunit ribosomal RNA", at positions 355 to 1375 of the family's 1533-position model. The record is from RNAcentral.
UGGGGAAUAUUGCACAAUGGGCGAAAGCCUGAUGCAGCAACGCCGCGUGAGUGAUGAAGGCCUUCGGGUUGUAAAGCUCUGUCUUUUGGGACGAUAAUGACGGUACCAAAGGAGGAAGCCACGGCUAACUACGUGCCAGCAGCCGCGGUAAUACGUAGGUGGCAAGCGUUGUCCGGAUUUACUGGGCGUAAAGGAUGCGUAGGCGGAUUUUUAAGUGAGAUGUGAAAUACCCGGGCUUAACUUGGGUGCUGCAUUUCAAACUGGGAAUCUAGAGUGCGGGAGAGGAGAAUGGAAUUCCUAGUGUAGCGGUGAAAUGCGUAGAGAUUAGGAAGAACACCAGUGGCGAAGGCGAUUCUCUGGACCGUAGCUGACGCUGAGGCAUGAAAGCGUGGGUAGCAAACAGGAUUAGAUACCCUGGUAGUCCACGCCGUAAACGAUGAGUACUAGGUGUAGGAGGUAUCGACCCCUUCUGUGCCGCAGUUAACACAAUCAAGUACUCCGCCUGGGGAAGUACGAUCGCAAGAUUAAAACUCAAAGGAAUUGACGGGGUCAUAGCUGUUUCCU